RNAcentral lists this long non-coding RNA (1339 nucleotides) under Chrysolophus pictus (golden pheasant). Its description in RNAcentral is "lncRNA (ENSCPIG00010014291.1)". Lineage: Eukaryota; Metazoa; Chordata; Aves; Galliformes; Phasianidae. The record is from RNAcentral.
AUUCAAAUUGUUCUACAUUUUAAAAUUUAAUAUCAGGAUAAGUGGGUGCAAGUAACCUUUCACCCUCCAAUCGAUACAAAGGAUGUUCUCACUUUACAUAAAUGCCUCUGCGUAGUCGGUAGUUCCAUCUGAACAAAUUUGUUUUUGGCUUCUGACUAAGCAUACAAAGAGGCCAGGGUAAGUACAUUGGGUUGCUAUCAAGCAUGAUAUGACAGAUGUCAUAUCUAAAAAUAAUGGUAAAGAAAACAAAGCUCUAAACUGAUUGCUUUCCCUUUCUAAAAUACAAGUAAGGCAGUUUUGACAUUAUUCAACUCAGGUCAUCAAAUUCAUAUAAUUAUACACCAAUGUAACGCAUACAUCUUAGAAGAAUGAAAAGUACAGAAAGAUGAGUGUGAAUGUAAAUUUACUCAUCUUUUAUAAAAUGCUUUCUUGAGGUGCUGACAUUUUCAGUACAUUGAUUGUUCAUAAUGAAUACUCUUGCAUAAAAUAUUUCAAAGGUAAUUUUCUGAGGCCAGAAAAUGACUAAAAAGUUAUUCACUAAAGAGCAGUCAAUAAUCUGUGUCCGGAAGCAGAUUUAUGGGAUGUGAAAUAAAUUGAUGUAACAGAGGUUGCUUAUACAAAAGAAUUACCUGCCCUUUUACAGAUUUGAUGUCCUAAAACAGAAGCCUCAAAAGUGAUGUGGGCCAAUUCAGAGGCAGUCAUUCUGUACUAUGUAGUCCUGGGCCACUGGAGGAAAAGAAGAAAAUGGCUUUGGGCAAAGUCUCCUUACUUGUAGCAGAAGUCCAAGAGGUAGUCAUCUCUGCAGCAUUUUUCACCGGGUGGCUCAGAAAUAGUGGAGCAAGCCUUUGGAGUUUGGGGUGUGGUGGUCCUUGCUGAAAGGUGGUUUCCUGGUAACCUGCACCCAAGAGUGCACCUCUGUGCUGUGCAGCCUCACCUCCAGCACCAGGUGCGGAUCUGGGUGCUGCAGUAAAAAAAAGAAAAGAAGAAGAAAAAAGGGCUUAAAGCUGUUUUAGAGUCCAAAGGAGGGCUACAAAGAUUGAGAAGGGUCUGGAGGGCAAGAAGUGUGAGGAGCAACUGAGGCCCCUGGGUUUGCUCAGAGCAGAGGAGUUGUGGAGAGGCCUCAAGGCGGCUGCAGCUCCUCACAGGGAGCGGAGGGCAGCGCUGAGCUCUGAUCUUGUGUGACAGCAACAGGGCCCGGGGGAACGGCAUGGAGUUGUGUUAGGGGGACAGGGAAAGGCUCUGCCCCAGAGGGCGGUGGGCACGGCCCCAGUACUGGAGUUCAAGGAGUGUUGGGACACUGCUCUCAGCCACAGGGUUUGGAUUUGGGGUAGAGCUGUGU